RNAcentral lists this ribosomal RNA (253 nucleotides) under Synechococcus sp. UW146. RNAcentral's name for it is "partial 16S ribosomal RNA". It matches the Rfam family "Bacterial small subunit ribosomal RNA", at positions 1282 to 1533 of the family's 1533-position model. Lineage: Bacteria; Bacillati; Cyanobacteriota; Cyanophyceae; Synechococcales; Synechococcaceae. The record is from RNAcentral.
CGUGGCUCAGUUCAGAUCGUAGGCUGCAACUCGCCUACGUGAAGGAGGAAUCGCUAGUAAUCGCAGGUCAGCAUACUGCGGUGAAUACGUUCCCGGGCCUUGUACACACCGCCCGUCACACCAUGGAAGUUGGCCACGCCCGAAGCCGUUACUCCAACCCUUGUGGAGGAGGACGUCGAAGGUGGGGCUGAUGACUGGGGUGAAGUCGUAACAAGGUAGCCGUACCGGAAGGUGCGGCUGGAUCACCUCCUAA